UACGUAGGGGGCGAACGUUAUUCGGAAUUAUUGGGCUUAAAGGGUGCGUAGGCGGCGCUUUAAGUCGGGUGUGAAAUCCUUCGGCUCAACCGAAGAAUUGCGCCCGAUACUGGGGUGCUAGAGGGAGACAGGGGUGAGCGGAACUGAUGGUGGAGCGGUGAAAUGCGUUGAUAUCAUCAGGAACACCGGUGGCGAAAGCGGCUCACUGGGUCUCUUCUGACGCUGAGGCACGAAAGCCAGGGUAGCGAACGGG
This 253-nucleotide ribosomal RNA is filed under the name uncultured bacterium. Its description in RNAcentral is "partial 16S ribosomal RNA". It matches the Rfam family "Bacterial small subunit ribosomal RNA", at positions 524 to 776 of the family's 1533-position model. The record is from RNAcentral.